GGGUCAUUAGGUUGGUAGUGCCACCGGUACUUACUGGUCUCAAUGAUUCCUCCUUCCUGAAGAACCGUAAUGCCAUUAAUUUGGUGUUGCGGGGAAACAGGACUGUUACUUUGAAAAAAUUAGAGUGUUUAAAGCAAGCUAACGCUUGAAUACAUUAGCAUGGAAUAAUGAAAUAGGACGAUCGAUCCUAUUUUGUUGGUUUCUAGGAUUGACGUA
RNAcentral lists this ribosomal RNA (216 nucleotides) under Glomeromycotina sp. RNAcentral's name for it is "partial small subunit ribosomal RNA". The stretch from base 40 to 216 matches the Rfam family "Eukaryotic small subunit ribosomal RNA", at positions 686 to 864 of the family's 1831-position model. Lineage: Eukaryota; Fungi; Glomeromycota. The record is from RNAcentral.